AGCAGCCGCGGUAAUUCCAGCUCCAAUAGCGUAUAUUAAAGUUGUUGCAGUUAAAAAGCUCGUAGUUGAAUUUCGGGGUUCUACCGUUGGUCGGGCUUUGUCUGUACUGGCGUGUAGAAUUUCUACCUUCUGGGGAACUAUCAUGUUAUUAAUUUAGCGUGGUAGGAAACCAGGACCUUUACCUUGAAAAAAUUAGAGUGUUCAAAGCAGGCUUAUGUCUGAAUACAUUAGCAUGGAAUAAUAAAAUAGGACGGUGGUCCUGUUUUGUUGGUUUCUGAAUCACCGUAAUGAUUAAUAGGAAUAGUUGGGGGCAUUAGUAUUCAAUUGUCAGAGGUGAAAUUCUUGGAUUUAUUGAUGACUAACUACUGCGAAAGCAUUUGCCAAGGAUGUUUUCAUUAAUCAAGAACGAAAGUUAGGGGAUCGAAGACGAUCGGAUACCGUCGUAGUCUUAACCAUAAACUAUGCCGACUAGGGAUCGGACGAUGUUAUUUUUGUGACUCGUUCGGCACCUUGAGGGAAC
Molecule: ribosomal RNA, 520 nt
Filed under: uncultured Scutellospora
Lineage: Eukaryota; Fungi; Glomeromycota; Glomeromycetes; Diversisporales; Gigasporaceae
Description: SSU rRNA
Rfam family: Eukaryotic small subunit ribosomal RNA
Source: RNAcentral